Molecule: ribosomal RNA, 501 nt
Filed under: uncultured bacterium
Lineage: Bacteria
Description: partial 16S ribosomal RNA
Rfam family: Bacterial small subunit ribosomal RNA
Source: RNAcentral
AUUGAACGCUGGCGGCAGGCUUAACACAUGCAAGUCGAGCGGAGAUGAGGUGCUUGCACCUUAUCUUAGCGGCGGACGGGUGAGUAAUGCUUAGGAAUCUGCCUAUUAGUGGGGGACAACAUUCCGAAAGGAAUGCUAAUACCGCAUACGUCCUACGGGAGAAAGCAGGGGAUCUUCGGACCUUGCGCUAAUAGAUGAGCCUAAGUCGGAUUAGCUAGUUGGUGGGGUAAAGGCCUACCAAGGCGACGAUCUGUAGCGGGUCUGAGAGGAUGAUCCGCCACACUGGGACUGAAACACGGCCCAGACUCCUACGGGAGGCAGCAGUGGGGAACAUUGGACAAUGGGGGAAACCCUGAUCCAGCCAUGCCGCGUGUGUGAAGAAGGCCUUAUGGUUGUAAAGCACUUUAAGCGAGGAGGAGGCUACUGAGACUAAUACUCUUGGAUAGUGGACGUUACUCGCAGAAUAAGCACCGGCUAACUCUGUGCCAGCCGCCGCGGUAA